UUAAUCUAUUUUUGUGUAUAUUAAUUUGUCCUAAUUUAGUACGAAAUUGGUUGCUUACAAAUUGUUUGAAUUAUGAUAUUUAUGGCUAACUCACAUUUUUAGCUUGAUUUUAAGUGGUUGCAUAGUUUUUGAUAGUCUGGUAAGUUAACUGGAUCAGAACAUAAAUCGGUGGUCGUUGAUUUUUUUUCGUGGUGUUUAUUUGACUCAUAAUAAUCUCAUCCGUUAAUUUCGUGUGAUCAAACGGUUAUGAAGGUGGUUCUCACGUUAAGAUAGGUUCUCACCUUAAGGUGGUUCUCAUAGGAACCUAAAUCUAUAUAUAUAUAUAUACACACUCAAAUGAGAAGGAAGCUUAAAAUUAGAAGAAUGAGAAGCAAUCUCGUGUGUUCGCUGAGAUUCGAUCUAACCGCUCCAAUGACGUUUUAGUAAUGGCGUUAUUGUAAAUAUUACAAACAAAAAUCGACAUCAUCAUCAAACAAAAGAACAAUGGUUUUCUCUCUCCUGACUUCUCGUGCUUCAUUUUCUCUCUCCUCACGAGUUCCCUCUCAGGAGCUCCUUCGUGAUUUUCUCUCCUUUCCUCACCUGCUGUAACCACCGCGCCGGCACCAUCUCCACGCUACCGUCAUCCACCGCGCCGUCACCAUCUCCACCCUUCCAUCUCCGACCGCCACCAUAUCUACGUCUUCUCCUAUCGUGAGUUAUUUUUAGGGUUUUAUUAAAUUUAAGGGUUCUAGUUCCUGUUGGAAUUUUCUGCAAUUGAGUAGGUUGUUGAUUGUUCUUUCCUGUGAUUUUGUGUUGGUUAGUUAAAAUUGAUUAAUUUGAAGCUCCUCAAAUGAUUGAAUGAUUGAAAUGUGUGAUGUUGAAUUCUGUCUGGUUCUGUUUCUUUGCGCAAUUGUUUUCGGAUUGUUGACACAGAUGAGCAAAUACUUUUAGAAUCUACUCUGAAGCUGGUUGUAGUGAAAAAUUUGCUCAUUUAUUCCAAAUGAGAAAUAUUAUAAUUAUUCAUUUGUUCAAAUGAGCAAAUUUAAUUGUUCAUUAUUUUGAUUCAAUUUUGCUCAUUUCUUAAUAAACUACUAUGAUUGGUUGAUUAUCAGGUUAAAAGCAUUUUGUGUCUAGCUAAUUGCCAUUGAUUGUGGAAGUUUACAAAGUUAUAGUGGGCUUUUUUUCUUUUAUUGAAACCUUAUGACAAUGUAGUUAUUACCAUGACACCUUUUGCAACAGCUCAUGCUUCUACUGAUGUGGUAGACAAGAGCUUACCAAUUUCAUGCUUCGAUUUCCAGAAUCCUGUUGGAGAUGAGCCUUAAGCACUGCAACCGUUCUCCCGUCUGUAUGAUUUCCUUUUAGUUGGAUUUUAACUGUUUGAUAGUGACUAGUGUAAUCCCCGUCUACUAUCUUUAGGUAGCCGUUAAGACAUAGAGAAUUUCCCAUUACUUUAGAAUUAGUAGAAAAGGCUGUUAAAUGAUCUGAUGGAUUUAAUGAGUGUAUUUCUGAAGUUGCUAGUUCUUUGAGCUUUGUUACAGAUUUUUUUAUGCUAUGUGUUUGCUUGACAAGGGAAUAUCAAGUUUGUUUUGCAGACUUGCAGAGUUGCAGAUGCCUUUUUAGAAUUAUGUAGGAGGACUUGGGACUUGGGAGGAAGAAAGAAGGUGAAAUGCCUCGUAUAGUUGUAGUACUGCAUUUUUGCAGUUAUAUAAUGAAGCAUAGUAUUGGUGUAGUGUGAAAAUCUUACGGCAUCAAGCACUUCCAAUAAGUUAAAGGGAAUAUCCUAAUUUUUUGUUCUAUGUAGCAAACAAUAUCUUCUUUACAUCUCCAUUUCUGUGUCUUAACUUAACUAAAUACCUUCUUUCAGUUGCUCUAUUUCAACCGCCAUUUUUUUGGGUUAUCCUGCUCUCUACCAACUGAACAUUUACUCUCGCCUUCUAACCUCAUAGCCCUUUGGUUUCAGUUCUUGUUUCACUUGAUACAGUCAAGUUAAGGUUAUUUAUCUAGGUAAGAUAAUUCAAACUUGUCAUGCAAUUUGUGAUGUUAACAGCCAUCUGGGAUGAUUGCACCUUGCACCCAUCUUCUUUUAGUUUCUUGUGAUCUAUCAAGUUUUUCAACACACUCUUCAAACAGAUAUUUGGUAUUCUUGCAAAGAAGGCAUCAGUAAGUAUUGGGUAGAGUUCUUAGUUAGUUGACUUGGUUAAAUACCAAACUAAUGUUACAGAUGACAAUUCAUUAAAUUCUUGGUAGAUAAUGGAGUGGAAUUGUUACAGGAUGUAUUAGUUCAAUAUUGCUUCCCAACUGAAAAAUUGAGCCGAAGUCUAUUUUGCUCUAGGUAAUUUAUCUUGCAAAAGGAAGGACAUUCAAACACAUAGCAAAAAGAUCUGAUGUUCAGCGCAACCGGCUCGGAGACCACCCCCAGCCUGGCCCGGACGAGCAAUAGCAGAGCCUGAUCGCAAGGUUUGGGAUGGUCCGAAGCCUAUAUCUAUUGUUGGAUCUACUGGUUCUAUUGGUACUCAGACAUUAGAUAUAGUUGCUGAAAAUCCAGAAAAGUUUCGAGUUGUUGCACUCGCUGCUGGUUUAAAUGUGACUCUUCUUGCCGACCAGGUUGUUGUAACUCUCACAGGUUGAUGUUGUAACUCUCACAGGUUGAUGUUGUAACUCUCACAGGUUGAUGUUGUAACUCUCACAGGUUGAUGUUGUGAUUCUUAGUGAUGAAGAAGACAAUAUUGGUAUUCCUGAUCCUUUCAAAGCGUCAUCUCUAGCUACACUCAAUGCUAGGUUUAGUAGGCUCAGUUUAGUAGGCUUAGUGAUAAGACCUUCGUUGAAGAUUUAGAGAAGCAAGCCCCACAAGAGAAAGCUAAGAAGCAAGGCGGUUUGCAGGGACAGGUGAAAUAAUAUGUGAAGACCAAGCAUCCCCAACUACACUAUGAAUCAAAAUUAUACAUGCUGCUUCAAGGAGGAAGUUGAUAAUUCUCGUACCUAAUUGGAUUCCAGAUUUGGCUGGUCUAUUGAAGCAGCAACAAGGGCAUGGCAGAUUGCAUUCGCAUCCAUGAUCUGGAUAGAAAGAGGAGAAAUCUAGGUCAAUUAAUUAAUUAUUUGGCAAGAGUUGACCUACAUUGACUUCGUGAAAUCUGUUGAUGUUGGUCUGUUAUUGCCAUUAGCUCAAGUUUUCGAAUUGUUUUGAUUUACAUUUUUUUUGGUUUUUGCUUUACUUUUGUUGAUUCUAUUUAAAAAUACUAGCCUACUAGCUCAAUAGGUAGGCAUUGUGCAAAUGCACAAGAUGUGGGUUCGAAUCCCAGGUAGGUUAAUCUUUACUUUUUGUAUUGUUUUAUUUACUUUUGAGUUUUGGGUUAAUAUUAUUAAGUUCUUAUCAGUUCAUGUUUUUUUUUUGAGGUAUUAUGUUUCAAGAAAUAAGAAUAACUAACUAUUCUUAUUUUUCUUUUAA
Long non-coding RNA from Spinacia oleracea (spinach), 3424 nucleotides. RefSeq lists it as uncharacterized. NCBI's taxonomy places the organism in Eukaryota, Viridiplantae, Streptophyta, Magnoliopsida, Caryophyllales, Amaranthaceae. The record is from RefSeq and is a predicted model, not a curated record. The transcript has 4 exons.